UUUAUACAUCAGGAGCUAAAUCACUGAGAAAUUUGUGUUUUGUCAGGAGAAGUCAGUGGCAGAGAGAUAAAUGGCUGUGGAGUGCCUGAACCACAAAGCUGCCAUAGAUCAGUGGAAAUGAUGGACCAUGGAGCUACCCACUGGGUUUGUAAGCCUUUGAAACUCAGUAUCAUCAGAAAUUUUGUGA
Molecule: long non-coding RNA, 187 nt
Filed under: Junco hyemalis (dark-eyed junco)
Lineage: Eukaryota; Metazoa; Chordata; Aves; Passeriformes; Passerellidae
Description: lncRNA (ENSJHYG00000002258.1)
Source: RNAcentral